RNAcentral lists this ribosomal RNA (497 nucleotides) under uncultured bacterium. Its description in RNAcentral is "partial 16S ribosomal RNA". It matches the Rfam family "Bacterial small subunit ribosomal RNA", at positions 28 to 507 of the family's 1533-position model. The record is from RNAcentral.
GAUGAACGCUGGCGGCGUGCCUAAUACAUGCAAGUCGAGCGAACGGACGAGAAGCUUGCUUCUCUGAUGUUAGCGGCGGACGGGUGAGUAACACGUGGAUAACCUACCUAUAAGACUGGGAUAACUUCGGGAAACCGGAGCUAAUACCGGAUGAUAUUUUGAACCGCAUGGUUCAAAAGUGAAAGACGGUCUUGCUGUCACUUAUAGAUGGAUCCGCGCUGCAUUAGCUAGUUGGUAAGGUAACGGCUUACCAAGGCAACGAUGCAUAGCCGACCUGAGAGGGUGAUCGGCCACACUGGAACUGAGACACGGUCCAGACUCCUACGGGAGGCAGCAGUAGGGAACCUUCCGCAAUGGGCGAAAGCCUGACGGAGCAACGCCGCGUGAGUGAUGAAGGUCUUCGGAUCGUAAAACUCUGUUAUUAGGGAAGAACAUAUGUGUAAGUAACUGUGCACAUCUUGACGGUACCUAAUCAGAAAGCCACGGCUAACUACGUG